Leucoraja erinaceus (little skate) is the source of this 72-nucleotide non-coding RNA. The record is from the annotation of a RefSeq genome assembly. NCBI's taxonomy places the organism in Eukaryota, Metazoa, Chordata, Chondrichthyes, Rajiformes, Rajidae.
AGGGUUGUAGCUCAGUGGUAGAGUGUAUGCUUUGCAUGUAUGAGGUCCUGGGUUCAAUCCCCAGCACCUCCA